RNAcentral lists this ribosomal RNA (253 nucleotides) under uncultured bacterium. Its description in RNAcentral is "partial 16S ribosomal RNA". It matches the Rfam family "Bacterial small subunit ribosomal RNA", at positions 524 to 776 of the family's 1533-position model. The record is from RNAcentral.
UACGUAGGCAGCAAGCGUUGUUCGGAAUUACUGGGCGUAAAGAGUGUGUAGGCGGUCGGCUAAGUUCGGUGUGAAAUCUCCCGGCUCAACUGGGAGGGUGCGCCGGAAACUGGCGGACUGGAGCGUGGGAGAGGAAAGCGGAAUUCCUGGAGUAGCGGUGAAGUGCGUAGAGAUCAGGAGGAACACCAGCGGUGUAGACGGCUUUCUGGACCACAGCUGACGCUGAGACACGAAAGCGUGGGUAGCAAACAGG